GAUGAACGCUGGCGGCGUGCCUAACACAUGCAAGUCGAACGGAAAGGCUCCUACUUGCUGCGGUACUCGAGUGGCGAACGGGUGAGUGUCACGUGGGUGUUCUGCCCUGCACUUCCGGAUAAGCCUGGGAAACUGGGUCUACUACCGGACAGGACGAUGGUUUCGAUGCCAUUCUGGAAAGUUUUUCGGUGUGGGAUGGGCUGGCGGCCUAUCCGCUUGUUGGUGGGGUAAUGGCCUACGAAGCCGCCGACGGGUAGCCGGCCUCGGAGGGUGUACGGGCACAUUGGGACUGAGAGACGGCCCAGACGGGUACGGGAGGCAGCGGUGGGGAGUAUUGCACAAUGGGCGCGAGCGGGUGGCGGCGGCGCCGGGUGGGGGAAGACGGCCUUCGGGUUGUAAACACCUUUCGCUAGAGACGAAGCGCUAGUGACGGUACCUGGAGAAGAAGCACCGGCUAACUACGUG
RNAcentral lists this ribosomal RNA (465 nucleotides) under uncultured bacterium. Its description in RNAcentral is "partial 16S ribosomal RNA". It matches the Rfam family "Bacterial small subunit ribosomal RNA", at positions 28 to 507 of the family's 1533-position model. The record is from RNAcentral.